GCAAGUCGAGCGGUAACAGAGAGUAUCUUGCUACUUUGCUGACGAGCGGCGGACGGGUGAGUAAUGCUUGGGAAUAUGCCUUUUGGUGGGGGACAACAGUUGGAAACGACUGCUAAUACCGCAUAAUGUCUACGGACCAAAGGGGGCUUCGGCUCUCGCCAUUUGAUUAGCCCAAGUGAGAUUAGCUAGUUGGUAAGGUAAUGGCUUACCAAGGCGACGAUCUCUAGCUGGUUUGAGAGGAUGAUC
Molecule: ribosomal RNA, 246 nt
Filed under: uncultured bacterium
Lineage: Bacteria
Description: partial 16S ribosomal RNA
Rfam family: Bacterial small subunit ribosomal RNA
Source: RNAcentral